AGUCAAUAGAUACCCUGGUAGUCCACGCCCUAAACGAUGUCAACUGGUUGUUGGGGAUUUACUUCCUCAGUAAACGAAAGCUAAACGCGUGAAGUUGACCGCCUGGGGAGUACGGCCGCAAGGUUAAAACUCAAAGGAAUUGACGGGGACCCGCACAAGCGGUGGAUGAUGUGGUUUAAUUCGAUGCAACGCGAAAAACCUUACCCACCUUUGACAUGUACGGAAGAUCGCAGAGACGCGAUUGUGCUCGAAAGAGAGCCGUAACACAGGUGCUGCAUGGCUGUCGUCAGCUCGUGUCGUGAGAUGUUGGGUUAAGUCCCGCAACGAGCGCAACCCUUGCCAUUAGUUGCUACGAAAGGGCACUCUAAUGGGACUGCCGGUGACAAACCGGAGGAAGGUGGGGAUGACGUCAAGUCCUCAUGGCCCUUAUAGGUGGGGCUACACACGUCAUACAAUGGCUGGUACAAAGGGUAGCCAACCCGCGAGGGGAGCCAAUCCCAUAAAGCCAGUCGUAGUCCGGAUCGCAGUCUGCAACUCGGCUG
This 542-nucleotide ribosomal RNA is filed under the name uncultured bacterium. RNAcentral's name for it is "bacterial SSU rRNA". It matches the Rfam family "Bacterial small subunit ribosomal RNA", at positions 774 to 1318 of the family's 1533-position model. The record is from RNAcentral.